Molecule: ribosomal RNA, 208 nt
Filed under: uncultured bacterium
Lineage: Bacteria
Description: partial 16S ribosomal RNA
Rfam family: Bacterial small subunit ribosomal RNA
Source: RNAcentral
UGUGUAGACGGAACAUUAAGUUCGUUGUUAAAUCUUUCGGCUUAACCGAAAGCUUGCGAUGAAAACUAAUGAUCUUGAGGGUGAAAGAGAGAAGUGGAAUUCUCGGAGUAGACGGUAAAAUGCGUAGAUCUCGAGAGGAACACCGAUGGCGAAGGCAGCUUCUUGGUUCACUCCUGACGUUGAGACACGAAAGCGUGGGUAGCAAACA